This 23-nucleotide non-coding RNA is filed under the name Arabidopsis thaliana (thale cress). The record is from RNAcentral. Lineage: Eukaryota; Viridiplantae; Streptophyta; Magnoliopsida; Brassicales; Brassicaceae.
GAGGUGUUGACGAAGGAGGCCUU